Molecule: long non-coding RNA, 1039 nt
Filed under: Marmota monax (woodchuck)
Lineage: Eukaryota; Metazoa; Chordata; Mammalia; Rodentia; Sciuridae
Source: RNAcentral
UUAUGAACAAUAUAAUAUGAUACUUGCUUCAAAUUAAUUCCUUUGCCAUUGGUCAUUAUUUUAAAUUGGUUCUUAUUCUCUAUUUCCCACAAAAACUCUAAAAUAUACUUUUUCAUAGAAGGAACUCGGUGCUGUCUGAAGUGUGAUUAUUUGGAAUGAUGUUAGCACAAGAGUCAGCACUAUUCUGGGUAUAUUUAAGCCUUCAAAUCCAUUCUGAACCACUGGUUUUAAUUUUUUUUCUCUCUAUAAGGUUUAAAAGGAAAUCACAGCAUUUGAAAAAUUCCGUCCACUUUACAAUCUCUUAUCUCAUCACUUUCUCCUCCUAUUACAACCCUUCUGUAUUCCUGAUUAUACCUAUUAUACUUUCCAUCUAGGGAAAAAUAGCAAGCCGCUGAAAAGAGUACUUCCAUUAAAAAAUAAAGAAGUGUUCCAUUAAAAACAGACAGUUAUAAGGGAAGGGAAAGGGAGAAAAGAUGGAGAACAGCUGCACUUUCAUUAUUAUUCUAAUGUAUUCUUCUUUUAUUCACUCUGAGAAUAAGAGGCAAGCUCAGCCUGCAGUUUCUAUAUGUAUUUUAUAAUGUGUUCAUCACUCUUGCUAACAGAGUCCUAGACCGAAAUUAAAGUAACUAGAAGACACAAUCUUCCCGGAAGGAUGGGUGUGAUUUAAAUGGCACAACCAUCCUCUUCUAUAUGCAUUGCUGAGGUUUUUAUAAUGCUAGGGAGGGUUAUCAGCUUGAUUUUUAGAAUAGAGAUUAUUAAGCAAUUAUUGAAAUUGAAGGAUUAAUUAGGGGUGGAUUGAUCAUGAUGUAAUCAUAAUAAGAAAGAACAAGAAGGUAAGAAGAAAAGGUUUAUGAAGAAAAAAUGUUGAAAAUUAUUCUUCAGUGUUGAAUUCAGUAGGUGGUCCAAUUCAUAUAAAUAUUAAUCAGAAGUUUUUAGAUAGCAUGAUGGGUUGUACAAAUUAUGAGAUAACUAACUAAUACAGAAAGAAUAUUUAUGACUUUGAAACUAGGAGGAAUUUUUCUCUAAAGACAGGAAAAAU